This 27-nucleotide non-coding RNA is filed under the name Mus musculus (house mouse). Lineage: Eukaryota; Metazoa; Chordata; Mammalia; Rodentia; Muridae. The record is from RNAcentral.
UCCCACUAAAGCUCGUUAGGUCUUUUA